RNAcentral lists this ribosomal RNA (791 nucleotides) under uncultured archaeon. RNAcentral describes it as "bacterial SSU rRNA". It matches the Rfam family "Archaeal small subunit ribosomal RNA", at positions 85 to 879 of the family's 1478-position model. The record is from RNAcentral.
ACUGCUCAGUAACACGUAGUCAACAUAACCAAAGGACGUGGAUAAACUCGGGAAACUGAGGCUAAACCGCGAUAGAUCAAGAUACCUGGAAUGGUUUUUGAUCAAAAUCUAUAUGGCCUUUGGAUUGGACUGCGUCCGAUCAGGCUGUUGGUGAGGUAAUGGCCCACCAAACCUGUAACCGGUACGGGCUCUGAGAGGAGAAGCCCGGAGAUGGGCACUGAGACAAGGGCCCAGGCCCUAUGGGGCGCAGCAGGCGCGAAAACUCUGCAAUAAGCGAAAGCUUGACAGGGUUAUUCUGAGUGAUUUCCGCUAAGGAAAUCUUUUGGCACCUCUAAAAAUGGUGCAGAAUAAGGGGUGGGCAAGCCUGGUGUCAGCCGCCGCGGUAAUACCAGCACCCCGAGUGGUCGGGACGAUUAUUGGGCCUAAAGCAUCCGUAGCCGGUUCUACAAGUCUUCCGUUAAAUCCACCUGCUUAACAGAUGGGCUGCGGAGGAUACUAUGGAGCUAGGAGGCGGGAGAGGCAAGCGGUACUCGAUGGGUAGGGGUAAAAUCCGUUGAUCCAUUGAAGACCACCAGUGGCGAAGGCGGCUUGCCAGAACGCGCUCGACGGUGAGGGAUGAAAGCUGGGGGAGCAAACCGGAUUAGAUACCCGGGUAGUCCCAGCUGUAAACGAUGCAGACUCGGUGAUGAACAGGCUUCGUGCCUGUUCAGUGCCGCAGGGAAGCCGUUAAGUCUGCCGCCUGGGGAGUACGGUCGCAAGACUGAAACUUAAAGGAAUUGGCGGGGGAGCAC